This 149-nucleotide microRNA precursor is filed under the name Gossypium hirsutum (cotton). RNAcentral's name for it is "MIR7502 microRNA precursor family". It matches the Rfam family "MIR7502 microRNA precursor family". The record is from Rfam by way of RNAcentral. Lineage: Eukaryota; Viridiplantae; Streptophyta; Magnoliopsida; Malvales; Malvaceae.
AGAUCAAAGAGCAUUUCAUACAUUUGUACUAAUAAAAACUAGUGCGGCUGACAAAAUAACUAGACAAUGACACGUGGUAUGCCAUGUGUACCUUAUAUUGACAUAUAAGGACCAGUUUUUAAUAGUAAAAAUGAAUGGAAUUUUUAACA